RNAcentral lists this ribosomal RNA (219 nucleotides) under uncultured bacterium. Its description in RNAcentral is "partial 16S ribosomal RNA". It matches the Rfam family "Bacterial small subunit ribosomal RNA", at positions 111 to 334 of the family's 1533-position model. The record is from RNAcentral.
UAAUGUAUGGGGAUCUGCCCGAUAGAGGGGGAUAACUACUGGAAACGGUGGCUAAUACCGCAUAAUGUCUACGGACCAAAGCAGGGGCUCUUCGGACCUUGCACUAUCGGAUGAACCCAUAUGGGAUUAGCUAGUAGGUGGGGUAAAGGCUCACCUAGGCGCGAUCUCUAGCUGGUCUGAGAGGAUGAUCAGCCACACUGGGACUGAGACACGGCCCAG